RNAcentral lists this ribosomal RNA (962 nucleotides) under uncultured Acidobacteriota bacterium. RNAcentral's name for it is "bacterial SSU rRNA". It matches the Rfam family "Bacterial small subunit ribosomal RNA", at positions 337 to 1295 of the family's 1533-position model. The record is from RNAcentral. Lineage: Bacteria; Pseudomonadati; Acidobacteriota.
UUCCUCGGGAGGCAGCAGUGGGGAAUUGUUCGCAAUGGGCGCAAGCCUGACGACCAACGCCGCGUGGAGGAUGAAGAUUUUCGGAUCGUAAACUCCUGUCGAAUGGGACGAACAGAUCGCGGGUAAACAGCCCGUGGUCCUGACGGUACCGUUAAAGGAAACCCCGGCUAACUCCGUGCCAGCAGCCGCGGUAAUACGGGGGGGGUAAGCGUUGUUCGGAAUUACUGGGCGUAAAGGGCUCGUAGGCGGCCAACUAAGUCAUACGUGAAAUCCCUCAGCUUAACUGGGGAACUGCGUGUGAUACUGGAUGGCUUGGAUUUGGGAGAGGGAUGCGGAAUUCCAGGUGUAGCGGUGAAAUGCGUAGAUAUCUGGAGGAACACCGGUGGCGAAGGCGGCAUCCUGGACCAAUAUUGACGCUGAGGAGCGAAAGCCAGGGGAGCAAACGGGAUUAGAUACCCCGGUAGUCCUGGCCCUAAACGAUGAAUGCUUGGUGUAGCGGGUAUCGAUCCCUGCUGUGCCGAAGCUAACGCAUUAAGCAUUCCGCCUGGGGAGUACGGUCGCAAGGCUGAAACUCAAAGGAAUUGACGGGGGCCCGCACAAGCGGUGGAGCAUGUGGUUCAAUUCGACGCAACGCGAAGAACCUUACCCAGGCUUGAACUGCGAGUGACACGCUCCGAAAGGAGCUUUCCGCAAGGACACUCGUAGAGGUGCUGCAUGGCUGUCGUCACUCGUGUCGUGAGAUGUUGGGUUAAGUCCCGCAACGAGCGCACCCUUGUCCUCUGUUGCCAUCACGUAAUGGUGGGCACUCUGAGGAGACUGCCGGUGAUAAACCGGAGGAAGGUGGGGAUGACGUCAAGUCAGCAUGGCCUUUAUGUCUGGGGCUACACACGUGCUCAAUGGCCGGUACAAAGCGUCGCAAACUCGCGAGGGGGAGCUAAUCGCAGAAAGCCGGUCUCAGUUCA